This 580-nucleotide ribosomal RNA is filed under the name Saccharomyces cerevisiae (brewer's yeast). RNAcentral's name for it is "partial large subunit ribosomal RNA". It matches the Rfam family "Eukaryotic large subunit ribosomal RNA", at positions 76 to 664 of the family's 3401-position model. The record is from RNAcentral. Lineage: Eukaryota; Fungi; Ascomycota; Saccharomycetes; Saccharomycetales; Saccharomycetaceae.
UAACUUAGUACGGCGAGUGAAGCGGCAAAAGCUCAAAUUUGAAAUCUGGUACCUUCGGUGCCCGAGUUGUAAUUUGGAGAGGGCAACUUUGGGGCCGUUCCUUGUCUAUGUUCCUUGGAACAGGACGUCAUAGAGGGUGAGAAUCCCGUGUGGCGAGGAGUGCGGUUCUUUGUAAAGUGCCUUCGAAGAGUCGAGUUGUUUGGGAAUGCAGCUCUAAGUGGGUGGUAAAUUCCAUCUAAAGCUAAAUAUUGGCGAGAGACCGAUAGCGAACAAGUACAGUGAUGGAAAGAUGAAAAGAACUUUGAAAAGAGAGUGAAAAAGUACGUGAAAUUGUUGAAAGGGAAGGGCAUUUGAUCAGACAUGGUGUUUUGUGCCCUCUGCUCCUUGUGGGUAGGGGAAUCUCGCAUUUCACUGGGCCAGCAUCAGUUUUGGUGGCAGGAUAAAUCCAUAGGAAUGUAGCUUGCCUCGGUAAGUAUUAUAGCCUGUGGGAAUACUGCCAGCUGGGACUGAGGACUGCGACGUAAGUCAAGGAUGCUGGCAUAAUGGUUAUAUGCCGCCCGUCUUAACAACCGGGACCACA